UACCUGGUUGAUCCUGCCAGUAGUCAUAUGCUUGUCUCAAAGAUUAAGCCAUGCAUGUGUAAGUAUGAACUAAUUCAGACUGUGAAACUGCGAAUGGCUCAUUAAAUCAGUUAUAGUUUGUUUGAUGUACCUACUACUCGGAUAACCGUAGUAAUUCUAGAGCUAAUACGU
This 171-nucleotide non-coding RNA is filed under the name Ipomoea nil (Japanese morning glory). RNAcentral describes it as "Eukaryotic small subunit ribosomal RNA". It matches the Rfam family "Eukaryotic small subunit ribosomal RNA", at positions 1 to 172 of the family's 1831-position model. The record is from Rfam by way of RNAcentral. Lineage: Eukaryota; Viridiplantae; Streptophyta; Magnoliopsida; Solanales; Convolvulaceae.